This 89-nucleotide Y RNA is filed under the name Microcebus murinus (gray mouse lemur). RNAcentral describes it as "Y RNA (ENSMICG00000045285.1)". It matches the Rfam family "Y RNA". From Rfam's summary of the family: Y RNAs are components of the Ro ribonucleoprotein particle (Ro RNP), in association with Ro60 and La proteins. The Y RNAs and Ro60 and La proteins are well conserved, but the function of the Ro RNP is not known. The record is from Rfam by way of RNAcentral. Lineage: Eukaryota; Metazoa; Chordata; Mammalia; Primates; Cheirogaleidae.
GGCUGGUCCGAUGGUUAUCAAAACUUAUUAACACUAGUGUCACUAAAGUUGGUAUUCAACCCCCCACUGCUAAAUUUGACUGGAUUUAA